CACAUCUCGUGGAGUCCAACUCCUAUCAGUCACAGUGCCUCGGGGAAAGUCUGGGGGUACAGGAUGAAUGUUCCACUGAGCUGCAGGUCUUCUGUGAAGUGUAACCAGAUAAGGUUAAAACCCAGCCGUACUGAACUGAAGAUGCUUUGCCUCUGAUGAAGUGAUCCGGAGAGUCACGAAAUGCGUAAGGCUAAAUCUGGUUACACUUCCCAGCUGCAGCUCAGUGGAACAUUCGACUUUUCCUAAAGCCGGCUAUCAGGAGGGGGUACUGUGACUGAUGGGAGUUGGACUCCAUGUGUCGUCACACUGACAUGCACCUCCUGUGGGUGUAUUUUAUUCAUUUUUAUGGAAAUAAAAAUACAACAACGAACAUUAUGUCUCUGCCUUUUGUAUUGUAGAUUAAUCUGAACUUCAAGCUGUUUCUGCAAGUGACUAUCUUGUUCCUGAAGGUUCGUCACUCUCCAGCCGUCCUGCAUUUUUUAAUAUUUUCAUGUAUCAGAAUUUUUACAUGUUUUGGAUUUGUCUCGUACU
Non-coding RNA from Pelobates cultripes (western spadefoot toad), 531 nucleotides. The record is from the annotation of a GenBank genome assembly. Lineage: Eukaryota; Metazoa; Chordata; Amphibia; Anura; Pelobatidae.